This 253-nucleotide ribosomal RNA is filed under the name uncultured bacterium. RNAcentral describes it as "partial 16S ribosomal RNA". It matches the Rfam family "Bacterial small subunit ribosomal RNA", at positions 524 to 776 of the family's 1533-position model. The record is from RNAcentral.
UACGAAGGGGGCUAGCGUUGUUCGGAAUUACUGGGCGUAAAGCGCGCGUAGGCGGACAUUUAAGUCAGGGGUGAAAUGCCGGGGCUCAACCUCGGAACUGCCUUUGAUACUGGAUGUCUGGAGUUCGGGAGAGGUGAGUGGAACUGCGAGUGUAGAGGUGAAAUUCGUAGAUAUUCGCAAGAACACCAGUGGCGAAGGCGGCUCACUGGCCCGGUACUGACGCUGAGGUGCGAAAGCGUGGGGAGCAAACAGG